UGCUAGCUUGCUAAUAAUUCUCUAGUGGCGCACGGGUGAGUAACACGUGAGUAACCUGCCCCCAAGAGUGGGAUAGCCCCGGGAAACUGGGAUUAAUACCGCAUAAAAUCGCAAGAUUAAAGCAGCAAUGCGCUUGGGGAUGGGCUCGCGUCCUAUUAGUUAGUUGGUGAGGUAACGGCUCACCAAGGCGAUGACGGGUAGCCGGUCUGAGAGGAUGUCCGGCCACACUGGAACUGAGACACGGUCCAGACACCUACGGGUGGCAGCAGUCGAGAAUCAUUCACAAUGGGGGAAACCCUGAUGGUGCGACGCCGCGUGGGGGAAUGAAGGUCUUCGGAUUGUAAACCCCUGUCAUGUGGGAGCAAAUUAAAAAGAUAGUACCACAAGAGGAAGAGACGGCUAACUCUGUGCCAGCAGCCGCGGUAAUACAGAGGUCUCAAGCGUUGUUCGGAAUCACUGGGCGUAAAGCGUGCGUAGGCGGUUUCGUAAGUCGUGUGUGAAAGGCGGGGGCUCAACCCCCGGACUGCACAUGAUACUGCGAGACUAGAGUAAUGGAGGGGGAACCGGAAUUCUCGGUGUAGCAGUGAAAUGCGUAGAUAUCGAGAGGAACACUCGUGGCGAAGGCGGGUUCCUGGACAUUAACUGACGCUGAGGCACGAAGGCCAGGGGAGCGAAAGGGAUUAGAUACCCCUGUAGUCCUGGCAGUAAACGGUGCACGCUUGGUGUGCGGGGAAUCGACCCCCUGCGUGCCGGAGCUAACGCGUUAAGCGUGCCGCCUGGGGAGUAC
Molecule: ribosomal RNA, 787 nt
Filed under: uncultured bacterium
Lineage: Bacteria
Description: bacterial SSU rRNA
Rfam family: Bacterial small subunit ribosomal RNA
Source: RNAcentral